UCCUUCCCCCUCCCAGCCCCCACAACAAUUUUGUUAUUACAAAGUUAAUUUUCUGCCACCUCGCAAGGUCAGUGUCCGAAAAGCUUUGUUGCAGGAAGAGGCAAGAGGUCGGAUGGCUGGACAGAGGGAAAGGAGCACCGGGGCAGCGUCAGGUUAGCAGGUGGUAAAAGCAGCCGAAGGGGAAGCGUGGGCACACUAAUGCAGGGAAACAACCGGCUGGGUCCAAAAGUCAUUCUUCAACCGUUAUGCUUCCUUAGGUCAAAAAUCCUCCGAGCUGGUUGGUGAGUUACUUGCCUGAGUGUUCUGAGUGAGUUUCCACUGUGUGGGGUGGUUGCUGUAGUUCUUCGGCUGUGGAUGAGAUAGCCAGGCUUUGUCCAGCACAGGUCUCCCCCGUGUUCAGCAGGAUUUGUGAUAGGACGCUGUGUGAAGAGCUCAAAUUUAUUGUAGUUAGCUUUUAACUCUUUCUGCAGACUAUCCGUUGCCCAAAGGUUAAGCCUUUCUUGUUAAUUAAAAGCACUUUGCUGCCUGUGACCGAUCUAUCCGGUAGGAGUUGCCUUGCAGUGAUCAGAACUGAUUAAAAUAAAGGAUGGAGGUUAUUUUUACUACUGAUGAAGUGGUUACAGAGGUUUAGAUCAAAUUAAAUAGAGGAUAAGAUUUACCACUGAUUGAAUUAAAUGGAAGGCUCUGUAAAUAUGAAGAUGGAGGUUUGCUGUCUCCCUGGUGUUUCUAAACCCAUGGCUAUUUUUAAACCUUUCUCAUUCCAGUACGUAUAUUCGGGGGCACCCUGUGAAAACCACAGUCUUCCCUCCUGCCUAAUGAAACCAGCUGAAGCAGCUCCUUCACUGAUGCAGCUACAGGCAGCUCUGGGAGCAGCUGCUUCCUGUUUAUAAAGGCUGCUGCUCCACCUGACAGCAUCAAUCUCCAGCAUGACUUGGUGAGCAGGGCUUGCUUUCUCUUGCCAUGCUGGCGAAUUUGCUCCUGCAGACAAAUUCAGCGAGCAGUUGCGGUGCAGAAUGCCGCAUCGAGGCGCUUUCCAAGCAAGCGCCCCGCAGCCCAGCGUUGUGCAGCAUCACCUGCUGGGAUCCUGCUUGUUGGAGCUGGGCUGCACAGUGCCUGCCAGAAGGCAGCAGUGAGGUUCCAGCUGUCCUCCUAGUCCCCAAGACCUGGUAGCACGUGGGCUCUGUGACGCUCCGGUCUGCUCAUCCUGCACGCAGCCAUGGGCUGUGGCUUGGGCAGGACGUCGUGUUUGCCUUUCAGUGCACUGAGACAACAAAAAUGCUUCGCUGGAGCUCAGCCAGGACUGUUGGAGGGGAGGAGAAGUAAUCUGUUCUGCAUCUCCUGGCCACCCCUAAGAGUGGCUCCUUGUGUCUCUGACAGUACAGGUAUUUUUGAUGCAACAAUCAGCAAUCCCUGUUAGGGACGGGGUGGUGCCGGUCAAUUAACCUUCUCCAGGUGGAAAUAUUUCAAAAAUUACAUUGAAAUUGUAUUUAGAAACAUGCUGACUUACAGCUGUUUGUCUGUCGGGAAUGACUACAACUAACCCCAACUGUGAGCACCUGUAUUUGAACCCUGGAGCCUGUCUUGAGGACAUGCUGCUUCGCUUUCCCCAUGUGCCAGACCCGGAGCAAUGAUCUUGAGCUGCUUUCAGUUUAGUUUGACUUGAAACACCCUUAUUUUCUGCCGUGGUUUCAGUGGAAAUAUUUCUCAAGAAAAAUUGUCCUAAUGGGAUUUCCACUCUCCUGGGACGAGACGUGCUCUGAAAGCAGCUUUUCUAAUUUCAGUGAUGUUCAGAACAAUUCCGAGCUUACGCUUGCUCCUGGUCCCAAAAUGAGCUGUGUCUGCACGCCUCCAUUUCAGAUAAAUAACCUAUCAAAUGACUGUCAUUUACAACGGAUACGAUGUUCAUCUGAAGUUUUAAUUUAAUGAAAUAGUUUUCAAUUCCGGCGUGCCACAUGUAUUGGGAGCAGUGGAGGAAAUAGUCCAGCUCUAGCUGUUCUUCACAGGACAGUUCUCUUUUUUUUUGUCCCUAUUCAGAACGUGCUUUUUUCCUGUCUUUUUAUCAAAAGUACCACCAAAAUCAAUACAGCUUACAGGAGAGAGAAAUACAAAUCAGAACUAAAAGACAACCUCUAGUUUAUUAGGUUUUUAAUUAAACAUGAUGAACACAUUUUAAAUAACACAAAGGCCUCAGGCAGAGCUGCAUCUAAUCGAAACAGAUUAAGUCACCCGUCCACACUUGGGUAGUUAUUAAUUCUGUUUAUUUAUGCAUGCUUGCUGAAGGCAGAGUUCACUGCUGCUGUGUUGCAGUUUAUUGCACAGGGAGGCUUCUGCUGCAUGGAAUUGUGCUCCUCAUUAGCAUUCAGAUGUUGAUCAUGAAGAACGUUGGUGAGGCUAAUUGAACCACCUCUAAAAUUCAGGGCUGCCUUCCGAAGUUAAGAGGAUCGGGGUGAAGCAGUAGUUUUUGCAUUAUUUCUUGGACUCUUCCUCCUUUUUCUCCUCCGCUUUGUCCCCCCUUUUCAAGAGAUGUUACAAUUCUCAAGAAGCAAAUGCAAAAUGUUCCUUGGGAAGGAGGUUUUACUCAUGCAUCUCCAUGCAGAACUGAUGACACACUGUGACAUCCUUGAUAACUAGCUUUUAUCAUGAAAUAUGCUGCCCUUUAAAUAUUUUACAUUGCUUUUGAUGUAGAGUAGUUGAGGUAAACAACCUAGUUUCAAACAACCUCUUAAAUUUAUGUGCAGGGAUAGUUAAUCCUUGCUGGUGAUAAACCUUAAUUGGCCAUGUACAUGGAUUUACAAGUUCAUAAAUUUUAAAAUAUCCACACCUGGCUUCAGCUUAAAGCUCAUUUGUCAUAAAAUACAAGUGGAGAUCUGUCUGCCAAAAAUGACAAGAUACAGCAAACUAAUUCCCUAACGUGUUUACGAGUGUUUGUAAUCCAGUGUAGCUGGUCAAGAAAUUACUUAUGCAAAACACACGUACUUAUUCGCCUGGCUUUUCUGCCUGGAAUCAUCUUGAAAUGUCUCUCAUCUGCCCUUUUUGGAAUAUCUGCUCAUGAAAACAUUGUUUUCAUUGCUCACUCCUUUGAAGCCAGCCUUUUCAGCUAUGCUGGAAGACAGAGCUGCUUACUGGGGCAAAAAUACCAUGAAUUUUAUUUACUGUUUAUAUGGCAGCCAUAGAAAAUGUGAUUCAUGGCAAAAUUGAAAUAGAGCCUCUCGAAUGGUGAGAAGGAAAAAAAAAAUCAUCAAGGGAUAUUUGAAAAGGAGGCUGGCAUUGCAAGGCUGCGUUUGAGUAAUUGGGUGGGCUUAGAAGGUUAAGAUAUCACUUGCUGCUUGGUUUUAAUUUUUUAUCCAUAAAAAGUAAACAUCAGCUUCUUGGUGGAGUACCAGUUCCUGUUAAUGUUUUCUGGACUUCAGAAAUCACGCCGUCCGGUGCUGCUUGCACGUGCGUUAGUCAAAAGCAGCUGAAAAUUAACUGAGGAUUGAAAGAAAAACAAGCCACGGUCUAGUAAGUCCUCUAUUUUAAUAAGAAUAAAUCAAGUUUUAGUUUAAGAAAAAAGGUGGGAAUGUACAGUCCCGACUGUGGCAUAUUCUAAGAACUUAGGCUGUAAAAAUAAAUAAAUAAAUCAGUCCUCACGGUAAAAAGUAACUGAUAAAGGACGAGACUCCUCUGCUUUGGG
Long non-coding RNA from Oxyura jamaicensis (ruddy duck), 3673 nucleotides. RefSeq lists it as uncharacterized. The transcript has 2 exons. Lineage: Eukaryota; Metazoa; Chordata; Aves; Anseriformes; Anatidae. The record is from RefSeq and is a predicted model, not a curated record.